UACAGAGGGUGCGAGCGUUGUCCGGAAUCACUGGGCGUAAAGGGCGCGUAGGCGGCUCGGUCAGCGUGCGGUGAAAGCCCGGGGCUCAACCCCGGGUCGGCCGUGCGAACUGCUGGGCUGGAGCACUGUAGAGGCAGGUGGAAUUCCGGGUGUAGCGGUGGAAUGCGUAGAGAUCCGGAAGAACACCGGUGGCGAAGGCGGCCUGCUGGGCAGUAGCUGACGCUGAUGCGCGACAGCG
RNAcentral lists this ribosomal RNA (238 nucleotides) under uncultured bacterium. Its description in RNAcentral is "partial 16S ribosomal RNA". It matches the Rfam family "Bacterial small subunit ribosomal RNA", at positions 524 to 761 of the family's 1533-position model. The record is from RNAcentral.